UUUCGGAGAGUUUGAUCCUGGCUCAGGGUGAACGCUGGCGGUAUGCCUAAGACAUGCAAGUCGAACGGGCUGUUUAUGCAGCCAGUGGCGGACGGGUGAGUAACACGUAGGUGACCUACCCCAAAGUCUGGGACAACUAGGAGAAAUCUUAGCUAAUCCUGGAUGUGGACACUCACCUUGGUGGGUGUCUAAAGCCUUC
This 199-nucleotide ribosomal RNA is filed under the name Meiothermus taiwanensis. Its description in RNAcentral is "partial 16S ribosomal RNA". It matches the Rfam family "Bacterial small subunit ribosomal RNA", at positions 1 to 211 of the family's 1533-position model. Lineage: Bacteria; Thermotogati; Deinococcota; Deinococci; Thermales; Thermaceae. The record is from RNAcentral.